Molecule: long non-coding RNA, 1414 nt
Filed under: Citrus x clementina
Lineage: Eukaryota; Viridiplantae; Streptophyta; Magnoliopsida; Sapindales; Rutaceae
Description: Citrus clementina (C. clementina) long non-coding RNA (CCLE_LNC005691)
Source: RNAcentral
AAAAUUAUUAUAAAAAUGUAAUAUUAUAAAAGGAAGUAAAAACAAAAAACAAAAAGUAACAGUAGAGUGUCAACAAUAUUAAUGGCAGGGAUGUUUGAGCUUUUACUCAUCUCCUUCUUACCAUAAUGUGGUCACGUGAUCUAGUCUUUUCAAUCUAUUAGUAAUCAAGAUCUUUACUCUGGACACAAACAUGAUUUGUGUAUAGCCUAAUCUUCUUCCCUUUUUUUCCCCCUCAUUUUGUUGCGAAAGAAAUUUGAACUUCAAAGUUUAAACGUCUUGUACCACUUUAAAAUCUUAUUACUAGUAAAAUCAACUAAAUAGUAGGAAUAUUUGCUUUAUCUUUUUAAGUCGAUGAUGAUUUCAAAAUUUUGCAUGCUUAUUCAUUUUUUUUUUAUUUUGCAAUUAAUUGUUACUCAUAUUCUCUUGAUUAUAUUAAUGGUUCAUUUACUAAUUGGUAACCAGAAUUGACUGAAAUCAGAAUGUGUUAGAUUGAGAAUAAGGAAUGAAAAUCAGAAUAAGAUGUUUACUUGAGUUGAAGGAAUUGGAAUUGGAAUGGAUUCGAUUAUCAUUUAUGUGUUUAUUUUGUCUUGGUAUCAAAAUGUAUUGUUACAAGUUAUUUAAAAAGAAAAAAGAAAAAAAAGAAUAAUAAAACAAUAAUGACAACAAUAGUAUUAAUAAUAAUAGCCAUCAUCAUCAAUGAUUGGCAACAGCGGCGAUGGAAUCAAUGGGCUUUUGUUGUUCCUGGUUUGUUUGUGACGGCAUUGAUAAUUGCUGCUAUUCGUUCGACGUUUUUGGCGCGAUCAACAAGCGGUUGAAGAUCUAUUACUAUUGCUAGUGAUGGCCAAGGACGGCGAUAUGAUUCUGGUAGGUGCUACAUGAUAUCAACGAUUGUUGAUGGUGAAUCGGUUUGGGAAUUUGGGUUUUCUUAUUUUUAAUUUUUGUUAGAUUUAAAUUUGAUGACAAAAUUAACAAUUUUCAAAACUGCUUGGGGUAUAACAGUUUGUACAAAGAAUGAAAAGCUUGAUUCCUACCCUCAAAUCAAGUUUCUAUUUUUUAAUCCUGAAAAUAUUUGAAUCUCAUAUGUUCCAUUCUCAUUAUCAUUUCUAUUUACUAAUAUAUACCAUCCAUUAUUUUCAUUCUAAGUUUGAUAAGAGAACAUGAUUAGGAGCUCCUAAUGACAAUAUAGGUAGUGUUUACACUUUGGAUUAGAGUGAGAAUCACGAGGAGUGGAAAUCCUGAGAUUGAGAAUGUGGAGUGGGAGUGAGAGUGAGAGUGAGAGUAUGUUGUUUACUUACACUAGAAGGAGAGUAUGAAAUUAGAAUAAGAAUCAGAAUCCAAUUUAUGUGUUUACUUUGUCUUGAAUUUGAAGUAAAUGGUUUCAAAUUAUAAUUUUACUUUUAUUUAAACAAUUGUA